RNAcentral lists this ribosomal RNA (316 nucleotides) under uncultured Glomeromycotina. RNAcentral's name for it is "SSU rRNA". It matches the Rfam family "Eukaryotic small subunit ribosomal RNA", at positions 569 to 886 of the family's 1831-position model. Lineage: Eukaryota; Fungi; Glomeromycota. The record is from RNAcentral.
AGCAGCCGCGGUAAUUCCAGCUCCAAUAGCGUAUAUUAAAGUUGUUGCAGUUAAAAAGCUCGUAGUUGAACCUUAGGCCCGUGCGGGCGGUCCGUCCUCUGGGCGAGCACUGCCUCGUCGCGGGUCUCACCUUCUGGCGAGCGUGGAUGCCAUUCAUUUGGUGUCCGCGGGAACCAGGACCUUUACCUUGAAAAAAUUAGAGUGCUCAAAGCGGGCUCUUACGCUUGAAUACAUUAGCAUGGAAUAAUGAAAUAGGACGACGGUUCUAUUUUGUUGGUUUCCGGGACGGUCGUAAUGAUUAAUAGGGAUAGUUGGG